AUUUGAAUGCUAGAGGUGUGCAUGUUCCAAUCUCAAGACUGAGAGAGUCUUUGCACAGAGUGGAUGCUGAGGGAGUGUACAUGAGACGUCUACGGCUGCAUGUAAUAAGACGACGGCAGUAUUCUGUUCCUGGCCCAAACUCUUUAUGGCACAUAGAUGGUCACCACAAGCUUAUAAGGUGGAGAUUUGUUGUCCAUGGUGGGGUGGACGGAUUCAGUCGACUGGUGGUCUACCUGAAUGUGGCUGGCAAUAAUAGGGCUGGCACUGUCCUACAGAGCUUUAUCAAUGCCGUUCAGCAGU
Non-coding RNA from Labrus bergylta (ballan wrasse), 300 nucleotides. The record is from RefSeq and is a predicted model, not a curated record. NCBI's taxonomy places the organism in Eukaryota, Metazoa, Chordata, Actinopteri, Labriformes, Labridae.